This 935-nucleotide ribosomal RNA is filed under the name uncultured prokaryote. RNAcentral describes it as "bacterial SSU rRNA". It matches the Rfam family "Bacterial small subunit ribosomal RNA", at positions 505 to 1437 of the family's 1533-position model. The record is from RNAcentral.
GUGCCAGCAGCCGCGGUAAUACGUAGGGUACGAGCGUUGUCCGGAAUUAUUGGGCGUAAAGAGCUCGUAGGUGGUUGGUCACGUCUGCUGUGGAAACGCAACGCUUAACGUUGCGCGUGCAGUGGGUACGGGCUGACUAGAGUGCAGUAGGGGAGUCUGGAAUUCCUGGUGUAGCGGUGAAAUGCGCAGAUAUCAGGAGGAACACCGGUGGCGAAGGCGGGACUCUGGGCUGUAACUGACACUGAGGAGCGAAAGCAUGGGGAGCGAACAGGAUUAGAUACCCUGGUAGUCCAUGCCGUAAACGUUGGGCACUAGGUGUGGGGGACAUUCCACGUUCUCCGCGCCGUAGCUAACGCAUUAAGUGCCCCGCCUGGGGAGUACGGUCGCAAGGCUAAAACUCAAAGGAAUUGACGGGGGCCCGCACAAGCGGCGGAGCAUGCGGAUUAAUUCGAUGCAACGCGAAGAACCUUACCAAGGCUUGACAUACACUGGGCCGUUCUGGAAACAGUUCUUCUCUUUGGAGCUGGUGUACAAGUGGUGCAUGGUUGUCGUCAGCUCGUGUCGUGAGAUGUUGGGUUAAGUCCCGCAACGAGCGCAACCCUCGUUCUAUGUUGCCAGCACGUGAUGGUGGGAACUCAUAGGAGACUGCCGGGGUCAACUCGGAGGAAGGUGGGGAUGACGUCAAAUCAUCAUGCCCUUUAUGUCUUGGGCUUCACGCAUGCUACAAUGGCUGGUACAGAGAGAGGCGAACCCGUGAGGGUAAGCGAAUCCCUUAAAGCCAGUCUCAGUUCGGAUCGUAGUCUGCAAUUCGACUACGUGAAGUCGGAGUCGCUAGUAAUCGCAGAUCAGCAACGCUGCGGUGAAUACGUUCCCGGGCCUUGUACACACCGCCCGUCAAGUCACGAAAGUCGGUAACACCCGAAGCCGGUGUCCCA